RNAcentral lists this unclassified non-coding RNA (202 nucleotides) under air metagenome. RNAcentral describes it as "partial contains small subunit ribosomal RNA, internal transcribed spacer 1, and 5.8S ribosomal RNA". The stretch from base 1 to 46 matches the Rfam family "Eukaryotic small subunit ribosomal RNA", at positions 1786 to 1831 of the family's 1831-position model. The record is from RNAcentral.
AAGUCGUAACAAGGUUUCCGUAGGUGAACCUGCGGAAGGAUCAUUAAUGAAAUGUUGAAAGGGUUUGAUGCUGGCAUUGCAAGUGCUCGAUCCUUGAUCCAUUACACACACCGUGAACACAUCUUUAAUCAACGCAUGAACGGUCAUAGUCAUUUAAAAUGAUAAUCUAAUACAACUUUCAACAACGGAUCUCUUGGCUCUC